RNAcentral lists this ribosomal RNA (401 nucleotides) under uncultured bacterium. RNAcentral describes it as "bacterial SSU rRNA". It matches the Rfam family "Bacterial small subunit ribosomal RNA", at positions 30 to 442 of the family's 1533-position model. The record is from RNAcentral.
AUUGAACGCUGGCGGCAGGCCUAACACAUGCAAGUCGAGCGGGGUUUUCGGACCUAGCGGCGGACGGGUGAGUAAUGCGUAGGAAGCUACCCGAUAGAGGGGAUACCAGUUGGAAACGACUGUUAAUACCGCAUAAUGUCUACGGACCAAAGUGUGGGACCUUCGGGCCACAUGCUAUCGGAUGCGCCUACGUGGGAUUAGCCUAGUUGGUGAGGUAAUGGCUCACCAAGGCGACGAUCUCUAGCUGGUUUGAGAGGAUGAUCAGCCACACUGGAACUGAGACACGGUCCAGACUCCUACGGGAGGCAGCAGUGGGAAUAUUGGACCAAAUGGGCGCAAGCCUGAUCCAGCCAUGCCGCGUGUGUGAAGAAGGCCUUAGGGUUGUAAAGCACUUUCAGCGA